RNAcentral lists this long non-coding RNA (446 nucleotides) under Dasypus novemcinctus (nine-banded armadillo). Its description in RNAcentral is "lncRNA (ENSDNOG00000052608.1)". Lineage: Eukaryota; Metazoa; Chordata; Mammalia; Cingulata; Dasypodidae. The record is from RNAcentral.
UUAAUUUUAAGCCUACAGAGAUUUCUAUAAUUUUUUGGUGUUUAAUAUGAACUUUAACCUACAUAUUCAGGAAUUUUAUUUACAAGCACCUUAUCUAUCCUUUAUCUUUCCUCUUUAGAGUGGAUGUAACUGAAAUCCAGGUAGCGUUAAUAAUCGUCUUUGUGUUGUCUACAUUUGGAGGAGCAACAAUGUGGGACUAUACGUUUUCUUGAACUGCAAUUGCCCAACAGAUACCCAUUCUAGAAAUAAAAUUGAAGAUUGUUCCAGUUCUUGGAGUAGUAGGUGGAGCAGUUUUUUCCUGUUCAAAUUAUUUCCAUGUUAUCCUUCAUGGUGGUGUUGGCAAGAAUGGAUCUACUAUAGCAGUAAGACAUUUAUUUCAUCUUUCAGUAUUAAUUUUAUGAUAAUUAUUUUAUUAUCAGCUAUAGAUAACUAAAUAUAUGCCAGGG